AUUGAACGCUGGCGGCAGGCCUAACACAUGCAAGUCGAACGAGUGGCGGACGGGUGAGUAAUGUCUGGGAAACUGCCUGAUGGAGGGGGAUAACUACUGGAAACGGUAGAUAAUACCGCAUACCAUCGGAUGUGCCCAGAUGGGAUUAGCCAGUAGGUUGGGGAACGGCUCCCCUAGGCGAAGAUCCCUAGCUGGUCCGAGAGGAUGACCAGCCACACUGGAACUGAGACACGGUCCAGACGCCUACGUGAGGCAGCAGUGGGGAAUAUUGCACAAUGGGCGCAAGCCGGAUGCAGCCAUGCCGCGUGUAUGAAGCAGUCCUUCGGGUUGUAAAGUACUUUCAGCGGGGAGGCGUUACCCGCAGAAGAGACACCGACUAACUCCGUGCCAGCAGCCGCGGUAAUUC
This 406-nucleotide ribosomal RNA is filed under the name uncultured bacterium. Its description in RNAcentral is "partial 16S ribosomal RNA". It matches the Rfam family "Bacterial small subunit ribosomal RNA", at positions 30 to 526 of the family's 1533-position model. The record is from RNAcentral.